GACGAACGCUGGCGGCGUGCCUAAUACAUGCAAGUUGAGCGCUGAAGGUUGGUACUUGUACCCACUGGAUGAGCAGCGAACGGGUGAGUAACGCGUGGGGAAUCUGCCUUUGAGCGGGGGACAACAUUUGGAAACGAAUGCUAAUACCGCAUAAAAACUUUAAACACAAGUUUUAAGUUUGAAAGAUGCAAUUGCAUCACUCAAAGAUGAUCCCGCGUUGUAUUAGCUAGUUGGUGAGGUAAAGGCUCACCAAGGCGAUGAUACAUAGCCGACCUGAGAGGGUGGACGGCCACAUUGGGAAUGAGACACGGCCCAAAAUCCCACGGGAGGCAGCAGUAGGGAAUCUUCGGCAAUGGACGAAAGGCUGACCGAGCAACGCCGCGUGAGUGAAGAAGGUUUUCGGAUCGUAAAACUCUGUUGGUAGAGAAGAACGUUGGUGAGAGUGGAAAGCUCAUCAAGUGACGGUAACUACCCAGAAAGGGACGGCUAACUACGUG
RNAcentral lists this ribosomal RNA (497 nucleotides) under uncultured bacterium. RNAcentral's name for it is "partial 16S ribosomal RNA". It matches the Rfam family "Bacterial small subunit ribosomal RNA", at positions 28 to 507 of the family's 1533-position model. The record is from RNAcentral.